This 497-nucleotide ribosomal RNA is filed under the name uncultured bacterium. RNAcentral describes it as "partial 16S ribosomal RNA". It matches the Rfam family "Bacterial small subunit ribosomal RNA", at positions 28 to 507 of the family's 1533-position model. The record is from RNAcentral.
GAUGAACGCUGGCGGCGUGCCUAAUACAUGCAAGUCGAGCGAACGGACGAGAAGCUUGCUUCUCUGAUGUUAGCGGCGGACGGGUGAGUAACACGUGGAUAACCUACCUAUAAGACUGGGAUAACUUCGGGAAACCGGAGCUAAUACCGGAUAAUAUUUUGAACCGCAUGGUUCAAAAGUGAAAGACGGUCUUGCUGUCACUUAUAGAUGGAUCCGCGCUGCAUUAGCUAGUUGGUAAGGUAACGGCUUACCAAGGCAACUAUGCAUAGCCGACCUGGGAGGGCGAUCGGCCACACGGGAACUGAGACACGGUCCAGACUCCUACGGGAGGCAGCAGUAGGGAAUCUUCCGCAAUGGGCGAAAGCCUGACGGAGCAACGCCGCGUGAGUGAUGAAGGUCUUCGGAUCGUAAAACUCUGUUAUUAGGGAAGAACAUAUGUGUAAGUAACUGUGCACAUCUUGACGGUACCUAAUCAGAAAGCCACGGCUAACUACGUG